Molecule: long non-coding RNA, 700 nt
Filed under: Equus asinus (donkey)
Lineage: Eukaryota; Metazoa; Chordata; Mammalia; Perissodactyla; Equidae
Description: lncRNA (ENSEASG00005024137.1)
Source: RNAcentral
GUUUGCUGUUGUGGGAGAGGGCUCCAAGUUACCAGAGCUGGCGAGGAGCAGGGGAUGUUCCCGGCUCUGCCUGGAGACCUCGCCCCAGCCUCAGUUUCCCCAUCUGCCCAGUGAGGGGCAGGAAUGAGAUCAACGGUCCCUAGCCUGAGGUUCCAGGAGUGUGCCACAAAGGCCUGGGGAGGAAGAGGAGGCCGGCGGCUCAGCCAGGACUGGAAAGGCCUUCCGGAUGCCAGGGUUGAGAGCAGCCCACCUGACUCAGCCCGUGCCACCUGCCAAGAGUGUUGUGAUGAGGAGCGUAACCCAGCUCAGCCAGACACUGAACCAGUUGUUACAAAUGAAAGAUGAGUGUUUCCACUGGGCAGGGGCAAGGGGCCGUGGAAAUGUAGUUGGGGAGACUCACCUGGUUGGGAGUCAGCGGAGGAAGCCUAAGUGGACGUUGGCUGGGGAGGAGGAGGGGUGUGCCGAGGAGGGGAGCCCGCUGGAGGGACCUGGGCAAGUGGGGAGGGUGCCCAGGCCGGCGUGUGUUGUCUGGUGGAUGGGACAGCCUUGAGAAAUGUUGUGUUUAUAAAAGUUGUUCACGGAAACACGUUCCUUUACCAAUUAGCUCCCGUUGGCCAAAGCACAGUUAAUGUUCGGAAAAAGCAAAUCUCCAGAAUGUUUUCCCCUUUUCUGUAGUUUUUAUUCUCUUUUCCAUUUCCAC